RNAcentral lists this ribosomal RNA (1372 nucleotides) under uncultured bacterium. RNAcentral's name for it is "bacterial SSU rRNA". It matches the Rfam family "Bacterial small subunit ribosomal RNA", at positions 28 to 1381 of the family's 1533-position model. The record is from RNAcentral.
GAUGAACGCUGGCGGCGUGCCUAAUACAUGCAAGUCGAGCGAACGGACGAGAAGCUUGCUUCUCUGAUGUUAGCGGCGGACGGGUGAGUAACACGUGGAUAACCUACCUAUAAGACUGGGAUAACUUCGGGAAACCGGAGCUAGUACCGGAUAAUAUUUUGAACCGCAUGGUUCAAAAGUGAAAGACGGUCUUGCUGUCACUUAUAGAUGGAUCCGCGCUGCAUUAGCUAGUUGGUAAGGUAACGGCUUACCAAGGCAACGAUGCAUAGCCGACCUGAGAGGGUGAUCGGCCACACUGGAACUGAGACACGGUCCAGACUCCUACGGGAGGCAGCAGUAGGGAAUCUUCCGCAAUGGGCGAAAGCCUGACGGAGCAACGCCGCGUGAGUGAUGAAGGUCUUCGGAUCGUAAAACUCUGUUAUUAGGGAAGAACAUAUGUGUAAGUAACUGUGCACAUCUUGACGGUACCUAAUCAGAAAGCCACGGCUAACUACGUGCCAGCAGCCGCGGUAAUACGUAGGUGGCAAGCGUUAUCCGGAAUUAUUGGGCGUAAAGCGCGCGUAGGCGGUUUUUUAAGUCUGAUGUGAAAGCCCACGGCUCAACCGUGGAGGGUCAUUGGAAACUGGAAAACUUGAGUGCAGAAGAGGAAAGUGGAAUUCCAUGUGUAGCGGUGAAAUGCGCAGAGAUAUGGAGGAACACCAGUGGCGAAGGCGACUUUCUGGUCUGUAACUGACGCUGAUGUGCGAAAGCGUGGGGAUCAAACAGGAUUAGAUACCCUGGUAGUCCACGCCGUAAACGAUGAGUGCUAAGUGUUAGGGGGUUUCCGCCCCUUAGUGCUGCAGCUAACGCAUUAAGCACUCCGCCUGGGGAGUACGACCGCAAGGUUGAAACUCAAAGGAAUUGACGGGGACCCGCACAAGCGGUGGAGCAUGUGGUUUAAUUCGAAGCAACGCGAAGAACCUUACCAAAUCUUGACAUCCUUUGACAACUCUAGAGAUAGAGCUUUCCCCUUCGGGGGACAAAGUGACAGGUGGUGCAUGGUUGUCGUCAGCUCGUGUCGUGAGAUGUUGGGUUAAGUCCCGCAACGAGCGCAACCCUUAAGCUUAGUUGCCAUCAUUAAGUUGGGCACUCUAAGUUGACUGCCGGUGACAAACCGGAGGAAGGUGGGGAUGACGUCAAAUCAUCAUGCCCCUUAUGAUUUGGGCUACACACGUGCUACAAUGGACAAUACAAAGGGCAGCGAAACCGCGAGGUCAAGCAAAUCCCAUAAAGUUGUUCUCAGUUCGGAUUGUAGUCUGCAACUCGACUACAUGAAGCUGGAAUCGCUAGUAAUCGUAGAUCAGCAUGCUACGGUGAAUACGUUCCCGGGUCU